RNAcentral lists this unclassified non-coding RNA (24 nucleotides) under Mus musculus (house mouse). RNAcentral describes it as "oocyte_clustered_small_RNA13983". Lineage: Eukaryota; Metazoa; Chordata; Mammalia; Rodentia; Muridae. The record is from RNAcentral.
UCUUGAUCCUGCCAACUCUUACCA